Long non-coding RNA from Peromyscus californicus insignis, 740 nucleotides. RefSeq lists it as uncharacterized. The record is from RefSeq and is a predicted model, not a curated record. The transcript has 3 exons. Lineage: Eukaryota; Metazoa; Chordata; Mammalia; Rodentia; Cricetidae.
CCUUCCAUGGGAGCAGGUAGCACUCUUCCUCUCUGCAGGCUACAGCACCAAGGCACUGUUCUGCCGGUUAUUCGGGCUCAGGUAUUUCCUUAUAGCAACACCAAAGGACUCAGUGAAUUAAAGACUGCUGGGCUGAACCAACUAAGAAGAAAGAGAUGCAGAAAGCUGUUCUACCUGCUUGGAAAACCAAGGGAGAAGAAAAGCCACCCAAAGCAAUUUUAGACCCUGUGGGUCCCUAGACAGCAGCAGGAGGGUCUGCCUCAGAGUUUCCCCAACCAGCCUCUGUCUGACAGUUGUUUGCCGUCCCCAGAGCUGACCUCCAAGGCACUCCUUUGUCUUGUCACCUCCGAACAUUUUACUGCUCUACGUUGAAGAUCCUGCAUUGGCUCUUGCCAUUCUCUCCUGGUCCAACAUGAUGGAAGCAGCCUCCACCAAUGCCUCUGACUCGGUACACUAAGCUGCACUCCAUGCCUUCUCCAUCAUGAUAGACUGAAGUCCUCUGAAACUGGCACUAACCUAUUUGAUCCUGCUAAGGUCUGGCAGUUUAGAAGACCCAUGGCUCUGCCCUCUUGCCACAGGGAUCACUGGAGAGACCUUUCAAUAUGCCUGCCAGUUUUUUUGCAUCUGAAUAAAAGAAGCAUUAUGCCUGAAGGAUCCAUCAUUCUCAGGGGUAUUGGGACAAGAAAAUGGCAUAACAGAUGUGAACACAUUUAGAAAGUAAAAGCAAUAUAUAAAUGCUA